UAUCACAUUUUUUCAGUACCUGAAAUAUUGACAAACCAACUGGUAAGUUUUAUUAGUAGAUUUCCUAAUAUUAUUCUUGUUCUCCUGAACUAAUUUUUACUUGAUAAUGAUGUGUUUUUACUUUGACACAUUCUUAGAUUUGAUUUGCUAAUUUUUCCUAAGCUACUUUUAUCAGGUUUUAAAAGUACCCCAGUGUUGUGGUACAAGGGUUAUGCUAGUUUGAUACAAAAAACUGGGAAACUUUUAGACCUUUUCUGUUUUCAGGAACAGUUUCACUGCACUGAAAUUUUCUCUUCCUUCAAAGUCUGAAACACUUACCAAUGAAACUACAUGGACCUGGAAGCUUUUUGGAAAACUUUUUGGUUAAAUUGAAAAAAAAUUCUUAUCAAGCUAUUAAGGUUUUCAUUUAUUGAGUCAACUUUGGAAAAUUGUGACUCAGAAUUACUGUUCUGUCACCGAGUAAAUGUGUGGUAAACUUAAGGGAGAAAACAUUUUUCUGACUUUUUGGAUGUGAGAAUUGCAACUAAAGGAUCAUGGAAGAACUCCCAGUAAAGGGCAGAGGGCCAGAUCACGGAGGGCCUUGCUGGUUCUAAUUAAGACUUUCUUUAGCUUUACUCUCUGUUUCUGCUUUUCUAUUUACCAUGUUCUUCCUCUCAUUCUCCUCAAGUGUGUAUUGUUCUUUUUCUGACAUCCCUAGCUAUUUAUCUCAGUGUUACUUAUUUCUUUAGUGGCCUAUUAUGUGAUCAGUUUUUAUAAAUGUUUAAGGACAUUGGAGGGUGCAGUAUUUCUAUUCAGCCAACAUUAUAGAAUUAAGUUAUAUGAAUCCUCAAUAGCUUAUUUCUUGCCUACUUAAGAUAUCAGUAUCUCCAACUUGCACAUUAAAGUCUCCUAUGCAGUGCUGUUUUGGUCUCAUUUCUCCUUGCAUUUCUAAUGAUUUUGGCUUUAUGCAUUUCAAUGUUCUUGUUUCACUAUAGGUUGUACCUCUUCUUAAUGUAAAACUUUUCUCAUAGUUCUCGUUUCAAUUUUACUUUGUCUAAUAGAAAUAUAUUAUCACACAUUUCCUUUUGUUUAUGGCUUGACCACUCUUUCAUUUUUACUUUAGCCUUAUUGUGCCAUUUUUUUAUAGGGGUUUCUUGUAAACAACAUAAAGUUCGAUUUAUUCUGUAUCUUCCAAUAUCUUCUGUCUCAAAACCUGUACAAUAACCAUGUACAGGUAUUGCCUUAAGUGAUCAUACCUAGUUUUAAUCUCUUAUCAUAUACUAUAUUUAUUAUAAUUUGUCUCCCACAGUAUAAAAUAUGACCUCUG
Molecule: non-coding RNA, 1306 nt
Organism: Manis javanica (Malayan pangolin)
Lineage: Eukaryota; Metazoa; Chordata; Mammalia; Pholidota; Manidae
Source: RefSeq, a predicted model, not a curated record